UGUUGCUUUGUGGACAUUGCACUCGAGGGC
This 30-nucleotide non-coding RNA is filed under the name Homo sapiens (human). The record is from RNAcentral. Lineage: Eukaryota; Metazoa; Chordata; Mammalia; Primates; Hominidae.